CUGCGGAGGAUCAUUAUUGAACAGCAAUGGGUGGCAAAGACUGUUGCUGGCUUGAAUGAGCAUGUGCACGUCAUUUGCUGCUUAUUUCAUUCAUUUUUCCUCCUGUGAACCUUUUGUAGACACUUGGGAAUGAGAAGUUGGUUGUAAUGAUUGACCUCUUGAUAUUGAUCUGGGUGUCUAUGCCAUUUUUAUAAAGACAUGGUUGCAUGUGUAUAGAAUGAGAUUGUAUGGUUUUUUUAAUAAAGCCUUUAAAUGAUAAUACAACUUUCAACAACGGAUCUCUUGGCUCUCGCAUCGAUGAAGAACGCAGCA
This 312-nucleotide ribosomal RNA is filed under the name uncultured Amanita. RNAcentral's name for it is "eukaryotic LSU rRNA". The stretch from base 263 to 312 matches the Rfam family "5.8S ribosomal RNA", at positions 1 to 50 of the family's 154-position model. Lineage: Eukaryota; Fungi; Basidiomycota; Agaricomycetes; Agaricales; Amanitaceae. The record is from RNAcentral.